This 700-nucleotide ribosomal RNA is filed under the name uncultured bacterium. Its description in RNAcentral is "bacterial SSU rRNA". It matches the Rfam family "Bacterial small subunit ribosomal RNA", at positions 8 to 717 of the family's 1533-position model. The record is from RNAcentral.
AGAGUUUGAUCAUGGCUCAGGACGAACGCUGGCGGUGCGCCUAACACAUGCAAGUCGAACGGUGAACCGGGCUUCGGCCCGGGGAUCAGUGGCGAACGGGUGCGUAACACGUGGGCAACCUGCCCCCGACCCUGGGAUAACCCCGGGAAACCGGAGCUAAUACCGGAUACUCUCCUCCGACCACAUGGUCAGAAGAGGAAAGGUCCGCCGGUCGGGGAUGGGCCCGCGGCCUAUCAGCUUGUUGGUGGGGUAACGGCCUACCAAGGCGACGACGGGUAGCUGGUCUGAGAGGACGACCAGCCACACUGGGACUGAGACACGGCCCAGACUCCUACGGGAGGCAGCAGUGGGGAAUCUUGCGCAAUGGGCGAAAGCCUGACGCAGCGACACCGCGUGGGGGACGAAGGCCUUUCAGGUCGUAAACCCCUUUCGGCAGGGACGAAGCGAUCUCGUGACGGUACCUGAAGAAGAAGCCUCGGCUAACUACGUGCCAGCAGCCGCGGUAACACGUAGGAGGCGAGCGUUGUCCGGAAUCAUUGGGCGUAAAGAGCGCGCAGGCGGCUUGGCAAGUCGGGUGUGAAAUCCCGGGGCUCAACCCCGGGACUGCAUUCGAUACUGUCAGGCUAGAGGUAGGUAGGGGAGAUCGGAAUUCCUGGUGUAGCGGUGAAAUGCGCAGAUAUCAGGAGGAACACCGGUGGCG